Tupaia belangeri chinensis (Chinese tree shrew) is the source of this 141-nucleotide long non-coding RNA. RefSeq lists it as uncharacterized. NCBI's taxonomy places the organism in Eukaryota, Metazoa, Chordata, Mammalia, Scandentia, Tupaiidae. The transcript is spliced from 3 exons. The record is from RefSeq and is a predicted model, not a curated record.
GAAAUGAUGAGCAUGGAGCUGGUGACCCAAAAGGAGAAAAGGGUGAAACUGGACUACCCGGAUUUCCAGGGUCUGUUGGUCCUAAAGGACAAAAAGGAGAACCUGGGGACUCUUUUACAAAAGGUGAAAAGGGAGAUAGAG